Molecule: ribosomal RNA, 216 nt
Filed under: Glomeromycotina sp.
Lineage: Eukaryota; Fungi; Glomeromycota
Description: partial small subunit ribosomal RNA
Rfam family: Eukaryotic small subunit ribosomal RNA (bases 40-216)
Source: RNAcentral
GGGUCAGCAGGUUGGUCGUGCCACCGGUACGUACUGGUCUCACUGAUUCCUCCUUCCUGAAGAACCGUAAUGCCAUUAAUUUGGUGUUGCGGGGAAAAAGGACUGUUACUUUGAAAAAAUUAGAGUGUUUAAAGCAAGCUAACGCUUGAAUACAUUAGCAUGGAAUAAUGAAAUAGGACGAUCGAUCCUAUUUUGUUGGUUUCUAGGAUUGACGUA